UACGUAGGGUGCGAGCGUUAAUCGGAAUUACUGGGCGUAAAGCGUGCGCAGGCGGUUUUGUAAGUCUGUCGUGAAAUCCCCGGGCUUAACCUGGGAAUGGCGAUGGAGACUGCAAGGCUAGAGUUUGGCAGAGGGGGGUAGAAUUCCACGUGUAGCAGUGAAAUGCGUAGAGAUGUGGAGGAACACCGAUGGCGAAGGCAGCCCCCUGGGUCAAAACUGACGCUCAUGCACGAAAGCGUGGGGAGCAAACAGG
RNAcentral lists this ribosomal RNA (253 nucleotides) under uncultured bacterium. Its description in RNAcentral is "partial 16S ribosomal RNA". It matches the Rfam family "Bacterial small subunit ribosomal RNA", at positions 524 to 776 of the family's 1533-position model. The record is from RNAcentral.